This 468-nucleotide ribosomal RNA is filed under the name uncultured bacterium. Its description in RNAcentral is "partial 16S ribosomal RNA". It matches the Rfam family "Bacterial small subunit ribosomal RNA", at positions 28 to 507 of the family's 1533-position model. The record is from RNAcentral.
GACGAACGCUGGCGGCGUGCUUAACACAUGCAAGUCGAACGGAAAGGCCCUGCUUUUGUGGGGUGCUCGAGUGGCGAACGGGUGAGUAACACGUGAGUAACCUGCCCUUGACUUUGGGAUAACUUCAGGAAACUGGGGCUAAUACCGGAUAGGAGCUCCUGCUGCAUGGUGGGGGUUGGAAAGUUUCGGCGGUUGGGGAUGGACUCGCGGCUUAGCAGCUUGUUGGUGGGGUAGUGGCUUACCGAGGCUUUGACGGGUAGCCGGCCUGAGAGGGUGACCGGCCACAUUGGGACUGAGAUACGGCCCAGACUCCUACGGGAGGCAGCAGUGGGGAAUAUUGCACAAUGGGCGGAAGCCUGAUGCAGCAACGCCGCGUGCGGGAUGACGGCCUUCGGGUUGUAAACCGCUUUCGCCUGUGACGAAGCGUGAGUGACGGUAAUGGGUAAAGAAGCACCGGCUAACUACGUG